CCUACGGGACGCACCAGUGGGGAAUAUUGCACAGUGGGCGCAAGCCUGAUGCAGCCAUGCCGCGUGUAUGAAGAAGGCCUUCGGGUUGUAAAGUACUUUCAGCGAGGAGGAAGGCAUUAAGGUUAAUAACCUUAGUGAUUGACGUUACUCGCAGAAGAAGCACCGGCUAACUCCGUGCCAGCAGCCGCGGUAAUACGGAGGGUGCAAGCGUUAAUCGGAAUUACUGGGCGUAAAGCGCACGCAGGCGGUCUGUCGGGUCGGAUGUGAAAUCCCCGGGCUCAACCUGGGAACUGCAUUCGAAACUGGCAGGCUAGAGUCUUGUAGAGGGGGGUAGAAUUCCAGGUGUAGCGGUGAAAUGCGUAGAGAUCUGGAGGAAUACCGGUGGCGAAGGCGGCCCCCUGGACAAAGACUGACGCUCAGGUGCGAAAGCGUGGGGAGCAAACAGGAUUAGAUACCCCGGUAGUCA
Molecule: ribosomal RNA, 466 nt
Filed under: uncultured bacterium
Lineage: Bacteria
Description: bacterial SSU rRNA
Rfam family: Bacterial small subunit ribosomal RNA
Source: RNAcentral